GAGAGCCGUAUGCGGGAGAUCCGCCUGUACGGUUCGGAGGGGGGGGGAAGGCGAAAGCCUUUCCUACCCCCU
This is a non-coding RNA of Candidatus Brocadia sinica JPN1, 72 nucleotides long. The record is from Rfam. NCBI's taxonomy places the organism in Bacteria, Pseudomonadati, Planctomycetota, Candidatus Brocadiia, Candidatus Brocadiales, Candidatus Brocadiaceae.